This 274-nucleotide ribosomal RNA is filed under the name uncultured bacterium. Its description in RNAcentral is "partial 16S ribosomal RNA". It matches the Rfam family "Bacterial small subunit ribosomal RNA", at positions 523 to 796 of the family's 1533-position model. The record is from RNAcentral.
AUACGGAGGGAGCAAGCGUUAUUCGGAAUCACUGGGCGUAAAGGACGCGUAGGCGGGUUUGUAAGUCAGGUGUGAAAUCCUACAGCUCAACUGUAGAACUGCACUUGAAACUACAGACCUAGAGUAUGGAAGGGGCAGAUGGAAUUAGUGGUGUAGGGGUAAAGUCCGUAGAUAUCACUAGGAAUACCGAAAGCGAAGGCGACCUGCUGGGACAUUACUGACGCUGAGGCGUGAAAGCGUGGGGAGCAAACAGGAUUAGAUACCCCAGUAGUCC